This is a non-coding RNA of Aphanizomenon flos-aquae, 221 nucleotides long. The record is from Rfam. Lineage: Bacteria; Bacillati; Cyanobacteriota; Cyanophyceae; Nostocales; Aphanizomenonaceae.
UUUCACAUCUUGCAAUUGGCAGAGGGAUCAUUCUAAAUCGUAGUAAUACGGAUUAGAUGUGAACCAAACCACCCUGAGCGUAGUCGAAGGGUAAACGUUAUUUAAGUCAUGAUACCUUGGGAUUCGCUAGUCCCAUGCUCUAUCGGUGCUGAUUAAACAUUCCGAAAGGAAAGUGUCUUUACCAUAACAAGCUUUUAUAACCUGGUUGAAGCAAACUUUAC